Molecule: ribosomal RNA, 465 nt
Filed under: Vreelandella stevensii
Lineage: Bacteria; Pseudomonadati; Pseudomonadota; Gammaproteobacteria; Oceanospirillales; Halomonadaceae
Description: partial 16S ribosomal RNA
Rfam family: Bacterial small subunit ribosomal RNA
Source: RNAcentral
CCUACGGGUGGCUGCAGUGGGGAAUAUUGGACAAUGGGCGAAAGCCUGAUCCAGCCAUGCCGCGUGUGUGAAGAAGGCCUUCGGGUUGUAAAGCACUUUCAGUGGGGAAGAAAGCCUUGGGGCUAAUACCCUCGAGGAAGGACAUCACCCACAGAAGAAGCACCGGCUAACUCCGUGCCAGCAGCCGCGGUAAUACGGAGGGUGCGAGCGUUAAUCGGAAUUACUGGGCGUAAAGCGCGCGUAGGCGGUCUGAUAAGCCGGUUGUGAAAGCCCCGGGCUCAACCUGGGAACGGCAUCCGGAACUGUCCGGCUAGAGUGCAGGAGAGGAAGGUAGAAUUCCCGGUGUAGCGGGGAAAUGCGUAGAGAUCGGGAGGAAUACCAGUGGCGAAGGCGGCCUUCUGGACUGAAACUGACGCUGAGGUGCGAAAGCGUGGGUAGCAAACAGGAUUAGAUACCCGUGUAGUC